AUGGAUAUCAGACCUAAUCAUACAAUUUAUAUCAACAAUAUGAAUGACAAAAUUAAAAAAGAAGAAUUGAAGAGAUCCUUAUAUGCUCUGUUUUCUCAGUUUGGCCAUGUGGUAGAUAUUGUGGCUUUAAAGACUAUGAAGAUGAGAGGACAGGCCUUUGUUAUAUUUAAGGAAUUAGGCUCAUCUACAAAUGCCUUGAGACAAUUACAAGGAUUUCCAUUCUAUGGUAAACCAAUGCAAAUCCAAUAUGCAAAAACCGAUUCUGAUAUAAUUUCUAAAAUGCGUGGCACUUUUGCUGACAAAGAGAAGAAAAAAGAAAAGAAAAAAGCUAAAACUGUGGAACAAGCAGCAAUAGCUGCAAACAAAAAGCCUGGUCAGGGUACACCAAAUUCAGCUAACACCCAAGGAAAUACAACGCCAAGUCCUCAGGUCCCUGAUUACCCUCCAAACUAUAUUUUAUUUCUUAAUAAUUUACCGGAAGAGACAAAUGAGAUGAUGUUAUCCAUGCUGUUUAAGCAGUUCCCUGGUUUUAAGGAAGUGCGCUUGGUACCUGGGAGGUAUGACAUUGCUUUUGUUGAAUUUGAAAAUGAUGGCCAGGCGGGAGCUGCCAGGGAUGUUUUAUAAGGAUUUAAGAUCACCCCAUCCCAUGCCAUGAAGAUCACCUAUGCCAAGAAAUAA
RNA transcript from Chrysochloris asiatica (Cape golden mole), 678 nucleotides. It is a transcript of the gene named U2 small nuclear ribonucleoprotein B''-like, with no coding region annotated. The transcript has a single exon. Lineage: Eukaryota; Metazoa; Chordata; Mammalia; Afrosoricida; Chrysochloridae. The record is from RefSeq and is a predicted model, not a curated record.